Non-coding RNA from Candidatus Burkholderia pumila, 187 nucleotides. The record is from Rfam. Lineage: Bacteria; Pseudomonadati; Pseudomonadota; Betaproteobacteria; Burkholderiales; Burkholderiaceae.
GUCGUCGUGAGGCGGGGUCUGAAGGAAACUGUGGAGCAAAGCCACGACCUGACGAACAGAAACCAGAUGUGAGGCUUACCCGGGCGGACGAGCGAGCCGAUGAUCGCGAAGUCCAUAGCCAUCUCACGAGAAAUUCUUCGAUCGCGUGAGCCACGAUAUGCUGAUGAGCGGUGGCAAAGCGUCUCAG